Molecule: ribosomal RNA, 1031 nt
Filed under: uncultured Oribacterium sp.
Lineage: Bacteria; Bacillati; Bacillota; Clostridia; Lachnospirales; Lachnospiraceae
Description: bacterial SSU rRNA
Rfam family: Bacterial small subunit ribosomal RNA (bases 1-839)
Source: RNAcentral
AUUGAACGCUGGCGGCAUGCUUUACACAUGCAAGUCGGACGGCAGCACAGAGAAGCUUGCUUCUUGGGUGGCGAGUGGCGAACGGGUGAGUAAUAUAUCGGAACGUACCGAGUAAUGGGGGAUAACUAAUCGAAAGAUUAGCUAAUACCGCAUAUUCUCUGAGGAGGAAAGCAGGGGACCUUCGGGCCUUGCGUUAUUCGAGCGGCCGAUAUCUGAUUAGCUAGUUGGUGGGGUAAAGGCCUACCAAGGCGACGAUCAGUAGCGGGUCUGAGAGGAUGAUCCGCCACACUGGGACUGAGACACGGCCCAGACUCCUACGGGAGGCAGCAGUGGGGAAUUUUGGACAAUGGGCGCAAGCCUGAUCCAGCCAUGCCGCGUGUCUGAAGAAGGCCUUCGGGUUGUAAAGGACUUUUGUCAGGGAAGAAAAGGCUGUUGCUAAUACCGACAGCUGAUGACGGUACCUGAAGAAUAAGCACCGGCUAACUACGUGCCAGCAGCCGCGGUAAUACGUAGGGUGCGAGCGUUAAUCGGAAUUACUGGGCGUAAAGCGAGCGCAGACGGUUACUUAAGCAGGAUGUGAUAUCCCCCGGGCUCUGCCUGUGGAACUGCGUUCUUAACUUGGGUGACUAGAGUGUGUCAGAGGUAGGUAGAAUUCCUCGUGUAGCUGUGAAAUGCGUGUAAUGUGUAUGAAUAUCGAUGGGAAAGGCAUGCUCUUGUGUUAUGCUGACGUUCUGGUUGUAUAGUGUGGGGUGAGAUGAUAUUGUAUACUCUGUUGGUCUGUGGUGGUGUUCUGUGUGUGUGUGUGUUUUGUGAACGUGGCUGUCGGGAUAACAGCGCAGUGUGCAGUGUUUUGUUGUGUUGUUAUGGUUAAUAUAAUAUGCCCCUUCUUACUGCUGCUUGAUUAUUGUGUGUAUAUGGUUGUGUGGGUGUGCUGUGUGUUUGUCUUGUCUGUUGUUGUAGUGUGUGCAAUGCAGGUGUGCUGUGAUGCUUGUUGGUGGUUGUGUGGUGUGUUGCUUGUCUGUGUGGAAUGA